RNAcentral lists this long non-coding RNA (1079 nucleotides) under Marmota monax (woodchuck). Lineage: Eukaryota; Metazoa; Chordata; Mammalia; Rodentia; Sciuridae. The record is from RNAcentral.
AUACAGGUUGUUGCUAAAUUGCUGAGGGUCCUGCUAGAUUGCUGAGGCUGGCCUUGAACUUGUGAUCCUCCUGUCAGUCUCCCAGUCCCUGGUAUUACAGGUGUGCAUAACUGCACCUGGCUUAUGUACAACAUGUUCUAUAUGUACUCAUCCACUGAUAGACACCUGGGUUGAUUCCAUACUUAGUUAUCAUGGAUAGUACUGCAAUAAACACGCCAAUGCAGAUGUCUCCUCAGCUUACUGAUGUAUUUCCUUUGUAUAUAUUCCCACUAGUGGGACUGCUGGAUCAUAUGGUAAUUAUCUUGAUUGUAUCUAUAAGGAUGUUUCUGGAUUAGAGCAACAUUUGAAUCUAUAGACUGAUUGAAGCAGUUUUUAUCCCACCUAAUUAUUUGAAGGCUUCAAUAAAACAAAAAGACCAAUUAUUCUUGAGAGUCAGAGGUAAGUUCUCCAGUUUGACUUCCUUGAGCUGGGGCAUUGGUUUUCUCCUCCAUUUAGACUGUAACUUUCACCAUAACUCUCCUGGUUCUCAGCCCUCCAGAAUUUGUAUGGAACUUACAACAUAGGCUGUUUUGGUUCUCAGGCCUCUGUUUCUUUCAUACUGGAACUCUACCAUUGGCUUUUCUGGGUUUUCACUUUGCCACCCAGUAAUCUCAGGGACUUCUAAGCCUCCAUAAGAGGGUGAGUCAAUUUAUUACACUAAAUCUCAUUUUUUCCCUCUCUAUUGUUUUGUUUCUCUGGUGAAGCCUAAUAAGUAUAAGUGCUAUAAACUAAUCAGACCUAGCAGACAUCUAUGGAGCAGUCCAUCUAAUAGCAACAGAAUCUUCUCAAGGCCACAUGGAAAAUUCCUCAUGGUAGACCAUAUCCAGGCCAUAAAAUAAACUCAAUGAAUUUGAAAGAAUCAAUCAUAAAGUAUGGUGUCUGAACACUGCCUUGAGAGGUAAGUUACUUUAUUGACAUAAGACCUUUCUUUUUUUAAUAUACAUAUUUGUAGCAAUAAACUUUCCUUAAUCCCUGCUUUAGCUACAUCCCAUAAUUUUAGUAUAACAUACCUUGAUUUUCAUUCAUUUCAAAAUAUUUUC